CCUGGGGAGGAUUCUGGGGACGUCGGUCGGGGUUCUUAGAAGGGGCGAUGACUUUUCACCGUCACUGGGGCUCAUGCAGGAAGACUGGGGGAGCAGGAGGCGGAAACGCACCCACAUCAAGGGCGGCAGGGCGGGGCGGCGGGGUACGGGGACGGGUGGGGAAGGGGCUGCAGGGUAUGAGUCCGACGCCUGCCCUUCUGUCACUUCCAAGACCCUGCCAUAGGCAUGAGGGGUCCCCGGCCGAGAUGACAGUGCUGGCGCCAGCCUGGAGCCCAAAUUCCUCCCUGUUCCUGCUGUUGCUGCUGAUGAGCCCUUGCCUGCGGGGGACACCUGACUGUUACUUCAGCCACAGUCCCAUCUCCUCCAGCUUCCACAUCUCGAUUAGAGAGUUGACUGACUACCUGCUUAAAGAUUACCCAGUCACUGUGGCCAUCAAUCUUCAGGACGAGAAACACUGCAAGGCCUUGUGGAGCCUCUUCCUGGCCCAUCGCUGGAUAGAGCAACUGAAGACUGUGGCAGGGUCUAAAAUGCAAAACCUUCUGGAGCGUGUCAAUAUGGAGAUACAUUUUGUCACCUCGUGUACCUUCCAGCCCUUACCAGAAUGUCUUCGAUUCGUCCAGACCAACAUCUCCCACCUCCUGCAGGACACCUGCACACAGCUACUUGCUCUGAAGCCCUGUAUCGGGAAGGCCUGCCAGAAUUUCUCUCGGUGCCUGGAGGUGCAGUGCCAGCCGGACUCCUCCACCCUGCUGCCCCCAAGGAGUCCUGUAGCCCUAGAAGCCACAGAGCUUCCAGAGCCUCAGUCCAGGCAGCUGUUGCUGCUGCUGCUCCUGCCUCUCACACUGGUGCUGCUGGCAGCUGCCUGGGGCCUUCGCUGGCAAAGGGCAAGAAGGAGGGUGGAGCUCCGCCCUGGGGUACCCCUCCCUUCCCAUCCCUAGGAUGCAAGCCUUGUGCAUCGUUGACUCAGCCAGGGUCUUAUCUCGGUGAGUCUUACACUGGAGCCUGGAAUGGCCAGGCUUAGGGGUGAGUCAGUCCAAGAUUUGGGGGCUGUCUUACUAUCUCUUAUAGGAGGGACGGGGAUUCAGGAGAGGGUGUGUGUGUGUGUCAGGGACAGCACAGUUUUUGCUGAGCGUCCAAUGUGACAAAGCUCAGGGAGUUUCUGCAGCUCGCACAGUUGGGCUGUGGAGAGCUGAAAAGGCUUGUGAGGGAGAGUAUACUGUGAGAACAAGCAAGGAGGCAGAAGGCGGAUCCCCUGCCAACACCCGUAUUUUAGAAUGUAAUGUGUUUUACACUUGUAAUACCUCUCCUGUGGAGGUUACACCUGUAAUCCCAGCCCUUGGGAGCCCAGAGCAGGAAGAUUGCUGAACUGUCUGGCCACCCUCAGCUACAAGAUGAGGUCUCAAUAUGUUGCCCAAACUGAGUUUGAACACCUCGAUGAACCUUCCUGCCCCAACCUUCCAAUAGCUGGGCUUACAGGCCUGCUAUAUAUAUACAACAAGGCUUUUCUUUUCUUUUCUUUUUUCU
RNA transcript from Mastomys coucha (southern multimammate mouse), 1524 nucleotides. It is a transcript of the gene named fms related tyrosine kinase 3 ligand, with no coding region annotated. The transcript has 8 exons. The record is from RefSeq and is a predicted model, not a curated record. Lineage: Eukaryota; Metazoa; Chordata; Mammalia; Rodentia; Muridae.